UCCGGUUUGUCACCGGCGGUCUCCUUAGAGUUCCCAACUUAAUGAUGGCAACUAAGGACAAGGGUUGCGCUCGUUGCGGGACUUAACCCAACAUCUCACGACACGAGCUGACGACAGCCAUGCAGCACCUGUCUCAGAGUUCCCGAAGGCACGAAGCUAUCUCUAGCGACUUCUCUGGAUGUCAAGACCUGGUAAGGUUCUUCGCGUUGCGUCGAAUUAAACCACAUGCUCCACCGCUUGUGCGGGCCCCCGUCAAUUCGUUUGAGUUUCAACCUUGCGGCCGUACUCCCCAGGCGGAGAGCUUAAUGCGUUAGCUGCGGCACGGAGGACGUGGAAGUCCCCCACACCUAGCACCCACCGUUUACGGCGUGGACUAC
This 377-nucleotide unclassified non-coding RNA is filed under the name uncultured bacterium. RNAcentral's name for it is "contains 16S-23S intergenic spacer region". The record is from RNAcentral.